UGGCUGAGUGGUAAAGCGCUUGGAUUCUAAACCAGAGAACCCGGGUUCGAAACCUGG
Molecule: transfer RNA, 57 nt
Filed under: Biomphalaria glabrata
Lineage: Eukaryota; Metazoa; Mollusca; Gastropoda; Planorbidae
Rfam family: tRNA
About the family: Transfer RNA (tRNA) molecules are approximately 80 nucleotides in length.
Source: Rfam by way of RNAcentral